GUAAUACCGUAUAAACCCACAGGUACUGUAGUACUGUAAUACCGUAUAACACCACAGGUACUGUAAUACUGUAUAACACUAACACCACAGGUACUGUAAUACUGUAUAACACUAUAACACCACAGGUACUGCAAUACCGUAUAACACCACAGGUACUGUAAUACUGUAUUACACUAUAACACCACAGGUACUGUAAUACUCUAUCACUAUAACACCAAAGGUACUGUAAUACUGUAUAACACUAUAACACCACAGGUACUGUAAUACUGUAUAACACUAACACCACAGGUACUGUAAUACUGUAUAACACUAUAACACCACAGGUACUGUAAUACUGUAUAACACUAACACCACAGGUACUGUAAUACUGUAUAACACUAACACCACAGGUACUGUAAUACUGUAUAACACUAUAACACCACAGGUACAGUAAUACUGUAUAAUAAUAUAACACCACAGGUACUGUAAUACUAUAUAACACUAUAACACCACAGGUACUGUAAUACUGUAUAACACUAUAACACCACAGGUACUGUAAUACUGUAUAACACUAUAACACCACAGGUACUGUAAUACCGUAUAACACCAAAGGUACUGUAGUACUGUAAUACCGUAUAACACCACAGGUACUGUAAUACUGUAUAACACUAACACCACAGGUACUGUAAUACUGUAUAACACUAUAACACCACAGGUACUGUAAUACUGUAUAACACUAUAACACCACAGGUACUGUAAUACACUAACACCACAGGUACUGUAAUACUGUAUAACACUAUAACACCACAGGUACUGUAAUACUGUAUAACACUAUAACACCACAGGUACUGUAAUACUGUAUAACACUAUAACACCACAGGUACUGUAAUACUGUAUAACACUAUAACACCACAGGUACUGUAAUACCGUAUAACACCAAAGGUACUGUAGUACUGUAAUACCGUAUAACACCACAGGUACUGUAAUACUGUAUAACACUAACACCACAGGUACUGUAGUACUGUAUAACACUAACACCACAGGUACUGUAAUACUGUAUAACACUAUAACACCACAGGUACUGUAUACCGUAUAACACCACAGGUACUGUAAUAGUGUAUAACACUAACACCACAGGUACUGUAAUAGUGUAUAACACUAACACCACAGGUACUGUAAUACUGUAUUACACUAUAACACCACAGGUACUGUAAUACUCUAUAACACUAUAACACCACAGGUACUGCAAUACCGUAUAACACCACAGGUACUGUAGUACUGUAUAACACUAACACCACAGGUACUGUAAUACUGUAUAACACUAUAACACCACAGGUACUGUAUACCGUAUAACACCACAGGUACUGUAAUAGUGUAUAACACUAACACCACAGGUACUGUAAUAGUGUAUAACACUAACACCACAGGUACUGUAAUACUGUAUUACACUAUAACACCACAGGUACUGUAAUACUCUAUAACACUAUAACACCACAGGUACUGCAAUACCGUAUAACACCACAGGUACUGUAAUACUGUAUAACACUAUAACACCACAGGUACUGUAGUACCGUGUAAAACUAACACCACAGGUACUGUAAUACUGUAUUACACUAUAACACCACAGGUACUGUAAUACUCUAUAACACUAUAACACCACAGGUACUGUAAUACUGUAUAACACUAUAACACCACAGGUACUGUAAUACCGUAUAACACCACAGGUACUGUAGUACUGUAAUACCGUAUAACACCACAGGUACUGUAAUACUGUAUAACACUAACACCACAGGUACUGUAAUACUGUAUAACACG
Molecule: long non-coding RNA, 1794 nt
Filed under: Oncorhynchus mykiss (rainbow trout)
Lineage: Eukaryota; Metazoa; Chordata; Actinopteri; Salmoniformes; Salmonidae
Description: lncRNA (ENSOMYG00000072614.1)
Source: RNAcentral